AAGUCGUAACAAGGUCUCCGUUGGUGAACCAGCGGAGGGAUCAUUACCGAGUUUACAACUCCCAAACCCAUGUGAACAUUACCUCUAUGUUGCUUCGGCGGAGCCGCCCCGGCGCCCGGAACCCCCUGCGGUCCCGCGGCCCGGAACCAAGGCGCCCGCCGGAGGCCACAAACUCUUCUGUUUUUACAGUCUCUUCUGAGUGUGCCGCAAGGCAGUAUACAAAUGAAUCAAAACUUUCAACAACGGAUCUCUUGGUUCUGGCAUCGAUGAAGAACGCAGCGAAAUGCGAUAAGUAAUGUGAAUUGCAGAAUUCAGUGAAUCAUCGAAUCUUUGAACGCACAUUGCGCCCGCCAGAAUUCUGGCGGGCAUGCCCGUUCGAGCGUCAUUUCAACCCUCGAGCUCCCCUUUCGGGGGGAGCCCGGCGUUGGGGACCCGGCGCUAACAACGCCGGCCCCGAAAUGGAGUGGCGGCCCGUCCGCGGCGACCUCUGCGUAGUAACAACCACUCGCACCGGGACCCGGGCGCGGCCACGCCGUAAGACACCCCACCUUCCGAAUGUUGACCUCGAAUCAGGUAGGAAUACCCGCUGAACUUAA
This 596-nucleotide ribosomal RNA is filed under the name uncultured fungus. RNAcentral's name for it is "eukaryotic LSU rRNA". The stretch from base 232 to 385 matches the Rfam family "5.8S ribosomal RNA". Lineage: Eukaryota; Fungi. The record is from RNAcentral.